Molecule: ribosomal RNA, 972 nt
Filed under: Hypoxylon pseudofuscum
Lineage: Eukaryota; Fungi; Ascomycota; Sordariomycetes; Xylariales; Hypoxylaceae
Description: partial large subunit ribosomal RNA
Rfam family: Eukaryotic large subunit ribosomal RNA
Source: RNAcentral
CGGCGAGUGAAGCGGCAACAGCUCAAAUUUGAAAUCUGGCCCUCGUGGUCCGAGUUGUAAUUUGUAGAGGAUGCUUUUGGUGCGGUGCCUUCCGAGUUCCCUGGAACGGGACGCCAGAGAGGGUGAGAGCCCCGUACGGUUGGACACCUACCCUAUAUAUAGCUCCUUCGACGAGUCGAGUAGUUUGGGAAUGCUGCUCUAAAUGGGAGGUAAAUUUCUUCUAAAGCUAAAUACCGGCCAGAGACCGAUAGCGCACAAGUAGAGUGAUCGAAAGAUGAAAAGCACUUUGAAAAGAGGGUUAAAUAGCACGUGAAAUUGUUGAAAGGGAAGCGUUUGCGACCAGACCUUUUCCCGGCGGAUCAUCUGGUGUUCUCACCGGUGCACUUCGCUUGGUUUAGGCCAGCAUCGGUUUCUUUAGGGGGAUAAAGGUGUUGGGAACGUAGCUCUUUCGGGAGUGUUAUAGCCCUUCACGUAAUACCCUUCGAGGGACCGAGGACCGCGCAUUGCAAGGAUGCUGGCGUAAUGGUCGUCAACGACCCGUCUUGAAACACGGACCAAGGAGUCGAACAUUUGUGCGAGUGUUUGGGUGUUAAACCCUCACGCGUAAUGAAAGUGAACGGAGGUGAGAGCCCUUACGGGUGCAUCAUCGACCGAUCCUGAUGUCUUCGGAUGGAUUUGAGUAAGAGCAUAACUGUUCGGACCCGAAAGAUGGUGAACUAUGCGUGGAUAGGGUGAAGCCAGAGGAAACUCUGGUGGAGGCUCGCAGCGGUUCUGACGUGCAAAUCGAUCGUCAAAUCUGCGCAUGGGGGCGAAAGACUUAUCGAACCAUCUAGUAGCUGGUUACCGCCGAAGUUUCCCUCAGGAUAGCAGUGUUGUAUUCAGUUUUAUGAGGUAAAGCGAAUGAUUAGGGACUCGGGGGCGCUUUAUUGCCUUCAUCCAUUCUCAAACUUUAAAUAUGUAAGAAGCCCUUGU